Molecule: ribosomal RNA, 471 nt
Filed under: uncultured bacterium
Lineage: Bacteria
Description: partial 16S ribosomal RNA
Rfam family: Bacterial small subunit ribosomal RNA
Source: RNAcentral
GACGAACGCUGGCGGCGUGCUUAACACAUGCAAGUCGAACGAUGAAGCGGUGCUUGCACCGUGGAUUAGUGGCGAACGGGUGAGUAAUACGUGAGUGACCUACCUUUGACUCUGGGAUAAGCCUGGGAAACUGGGUCUAAUACCGGAUACGACCAAUCUCUGCAUGGGGUGUUGGUGGAAAGCGUUAUGGAGUGGUUUUAGAUGGGCUCACGGCCUAUCAGCUUGUUGGUGAGGUAAUGGCUUACCAAGGCGACGACGGGUAGCCGGCCUGAGAGGGUGACCGGCCACACUGGGACUGAGACACGGCCCAGACUCCUACGGGAGGCAGCAGUGGGGAAUAUUGCACAAUGGGCGCAAGCCUGAUGCAGCGACGCCGCGUGAGGGAUGACGGCCUUCGGGUUGUAAACCUCUGUUAGCAUCGAAGAAGCGAAAGUGACGGUAGGUGCAGAGAAAGCGCUGGCUAACUACGUG